CGGGACGGGUGAGUAAUGUCUGGGAAACUGCCUGAUGGAGGGGGAUAACUACUGGAAACGGUAGCUAAUACCGCAUAACGUCGCAAGACCAAAGAGGGGGACCUUCGGGCCUCUUGCCAUCGGAUGUGCCCAGAUGGGAUUAGCUAGUAGGUGGGGUAACGGCUCACCUAGGCGACGAUCCCUAGCUGGUCUGAGAGGAUGACUAGCCACACUGGAACUGAGACACGGUCCAG
RNAcentral lists this ribosomal RNA (233 nucleotides) under uncultured bacterium. RNAcentral's name for it is "partial 16S ribosomal RNA". It matches the Rfam family "Bacterial small subunit ribosomal RNA", at positions 100 to 334 of the family's 1533-position model. The record is from RNAcentral.